This 510-nucleotide long non-coding RNA is filed under the name Equus caballus (horse). RNAcentral's name for it is "lncRNA (ENSECAG00000048162.1)". The record is from RNAcentral. Lineage: Eukaryota; Metazoa; Chordata; Mammalia; Perissodactyla; Equidae.
GAGCUGUAAGAUUACCGAGUACAGCAGUCGGCCCACAUCUUGGGGGAGGCGUUCCAGGACCCCCAGUGGAUGCUGGAAACCUCGGAUAGCGCCGAAACCUAUAAAUACUGUUUUUUCCUGCACAUACACACCUAUGAUAAAGUUUAACGUAUAAAUUAGGCACUGUAAGAGAUUAACAACAAUAACUAAUAAUAAAGUUGACUUUGGGGCCAUUAUGAAGUGAAAUAACAGUUACUUGAACGCAAGUGCUGUGGCACAGUGACUGUCUAUCCGACAAUCGAGAAGACGACUAAGCGACCGUUGGACAGGAAGCAGAUAGAGCAGGGAUCUGCUGGACGAAGGGAUGAUCCACGUCCCAGUUGCAGGCCGUCUGUACCUACCAAGAGGGUCCCGGAGUUGGUAUGAACUGUAAGGCCUGCAGUCCAGGAAAUGAGGAUCUCGAAGGUGCUGGAGUCUCAGUCGACAGCUCUCAGACGAGGAAACUCAGCACAGAGCUUACAAACAACAGAG